This 279-nucleotide unclassified non-coding RNA is filed under the name Hevea brasiliensis (rubber tree). The record is from RNAcentral. Lineage: Eukaryota; Viridiplantae; Streptophyta; Magnoliopsida; Malpighiales; Euphorbiaceae.
AAUGGAAUUUGAAGGUGUUGAUUUUGCUUUUUGUUCAACCAUUUCCUGUAUGUUUUUCUGAUGAAAUUUCACUUGCUUAAUUUUAGCAUGAUGAAAAAUAGAGGUAGGAGAAGUGAAUUCCCCUGGGUGCAAGAACAAGUUGUAGUUUUCUUCUUUCUUUGGUGGUGUAUAUUUUAUUCACUUGGAGGAGGAUAUAACGACCAUUCAAAUGCAAGAUGGCAUACAUAUCAAAGGAUAUUGAAAUAUUAAUGGCAAUGUGCAAUAUGAAAACUGCUGGGA